Molecule: transfer RNA, 73 nt
Filed under: Ailuropoda melanoleuca (giant panda)
Lineage: Eukaryota; Metazoa; Chordata; Mammalia; Carnivora; Ursidae
Rfam family: tRNA
About the family: Transfer RNA (tRNA) molecules are approximately 80 nucleotides in length. Their secondary structure includes four short double-helical elements and three loops (D, anti-codon, and T loops).
Source: Rfam by way of RNAcentral
GCCCGGCUGGCUCAGUCGGUGGAGCUCUCAACCCUUGAUCUUGGGGUCAUGAGUUCAAGCCCCAUGUUGGGCA